RNAcentral lists this ribosomal RNA (439 nucleotides) under Klebsiella pneumoniae. RNAcentral describes it as "partial 23S ribosomal RNA". It matches the Rfam family "Bacterial large subunit ribosomal RNA", at positions 2504 to 2925 of the family's 2925-position model. Lineage: Bacteria; Pseudomonadati; Pseudomonadota; Gammaproteobacteria; Enterobacterales; Enterobacteriaceae. The record is from RNAcentral.
AUCGACGGCGGUGUUUGGCACCUCGAUGUCGGCUCAUCACAUCCUGGGGCUGAAGUAGGUCCCAAGGGUAUGGCUGUUCGCCAUUUAAAGUGGUACGCGAGCUGGGUUUAGAACGUCGUGAGACAGUUCGGUCCCUAUCUGCCGUGGGCGCUGGAGAAUUGAGGGGGGCUGCUCCUAGUACGAGAGGACCGGAGUGGACGCAUCACUGGUGUUCGGGUUGUCAUGCCAAUGGCACUGCCCGGUAGCUAAAUGCGGAAGAGAUAAGUGCUGAAAGCAUCUAAGCACGAAACUUGCCCCGAGAUGAGUUCUCCCUGAGACUUUAAGUCUCCUGAAGGAACGUUGAAGACGAUGACGUUGAUAGGCCGGGUGUGUAAGCGCAGCGAUGCGUUGAGCUAACCGGUACUAAUGAACCGUGAGGCUUAACCUUACAACGCCGAAG